Molecule: ribosomal RNA, 2751 nt
Filed under: Triticum aestivum (bread wheat)
Lineage: Eukaryota; Viridiplantae; Streptophyta; Magnoliopsida; Poales; Poaceae
Description: partial small subunit ribosomal RNA
Source: RNAcentral
AUGAUGAUCCGCGUCCUGGAUCAUCAAAACGGCCUCGUCCUCUACACAUGUGGGGAUGCGAUGCAUGCGUGCAACCCCGCGACACGGCGGUGGGCGACGGUGCCUCCGCCGCCCGUACCCUUUUUCUACAACCACAUGCACCUCAUGUUCGACCCAACGGUGUCUUUGCACUACGACGUGCUAUGCUUCCCUAACGUGCCUGAAAGGCCGACGCCACCAUAUCAGUCUCCCAAGAGACAUUGCAAGGAGGGAUCAUCAUGGACGAGAGUGUACACUGUUAGGGAUUUUGAGAAAUUGCCGCCGUCUUUGAAAACAGAAUAUCGGGACGAGGUGAACGCGCUGGGCUGCAUGGAAUGGCCACCGCACCUAUACGCAGUGCAAGUCUUCUCGUCAAGAACUGGCCAGUGGCAGGAGAGGCACUUCAUUCGACAAGGCAACGCGGCAGUUACAGUGGCAGACGUGUGGUCGGACCAACACGCGCGACAUGGACCGAGUGCCCUUCGACGUAAUGUUGUGUACUGGCGUGGAGCAUUCUAUCUCCAUUGCUAUGUUGACUUCAUCGUGAGGUUGUCACUGCAAGAUGGAAAGUAUGCAGUGAUCAAAACCCCAACAUGCGACCAGAAAUCCAAUGGGUAUUUUGGAAAAUCGAAGCAGAGGAUCUACUACACCGCUGUCAUCGGGUACCAAAUUUCGGUAUGGGUAUUACAAGAGGCAUCAGAGACGUGUCAAACCCUACAGUGGGCGCUAAGGCAUCAAAAUGACCUUGAGCAUGAUUUUCAGCAACACUAUAACCGACACCUUAUAGGAGAUGAGAUUGGCAAGUCUUGGACAUUGGAUCCCUGUAUGGAAGAAUCAAGUGACAAAGGGGACAAUAGAUGGGACUCUAGUGAUGACAGCGUCACUGAUGCAUUAGAAGAAGGGAUCAACGGCAAUGAGGGUUAUAAAAAUUGCUACUAUGGAAUGGAUUUUUUGGGCUAUCACCCUGAAAGGGAAAUUGUUUUCCUGGGCAGCCAUUAUAGCGGGUUUGCUUACUACUUAGCAUUGCCACUAUUUGACAAACCAACUUUUGGCAAAAUCAAAAGUUGCCAAAAGUUAGCAACUUCUUGCGAGAAACAACAACAACAACAACAACAACAAAGUAAAAGAGUGAUUGAAGUUCCAUGUAAAGAAAAACCAUCAACGAGUCGAGAGCAUUCGACGGUGUUCCAAACGGGCGCAUGUGCCCGUUCAAGUGGUCAUUUGACAUCUUCAACCAGGAGCACAAAAAGAACAGAACGAACGACGACAUUUAAAACAGACGUCGAUGCCCGUUUCAGCGAUCGUUUCAUCUGCGUGCAAGCAAAGCGGUCGUUUUAUGCGCCGGCUGCUCCAGUAAACUCAAGGGAGGAGGUAUUUCGCCCCCAUCUCUCUCUUUUCUUCUUCUUCUUCUUCUUCUUCUUCUUCUUCUUCUUCUUCUUCUUCCUCCAAACCUCUUCAAACCCUAACAAAACUUUGAUCGAUCUUUGUACUCGUUCAUUUUCAGUUCAAUCCUUCCGUGAUCGAUCUACAAUGUUUACACGGAGGUCUUCUCGCGUACGUGGUGAUUCAAGUUCAUCCACCGCACAACCGCAACGAGUUUUCACUCAGGGGAUCAUUAACCGACCGUGGAGCAAGGAAGAGGUUCCAGAAGCUCACUACAAGGAAGAUCAAAGCAACCAAAUGGGCUUGUGCGAGUACUCUCGCGAAGCUAGAUAUGUUUAUGAUUUCACUGACCCGCACCCAAGGCAAUCCUUUUAUCGGAUGAGUCACCAUGGCCCUAAGCAAAGAGCCAGUUGCAUUGAAAGUCCUGCUAUACGUUAUUUCUACUAUGUUAUCACUAACUCGUUGCAGGCACGAGGAGAAGUUUCUAAGGUGAAUGAUGAGAACAUGCUAAUUCUCGGGAAAGCAGGAAACUUGGACGUCGGUUAUUCACCCAACCUAGGGGCAAUACUUUUGCUAUGCCUCGCGCAUCAAGCAAAUCAUGUACAAGGAGAUAUCGUGUGUGGAGGAGUGAUCACCAUGUUGGCCAACUCCCUUGGCCUUGACUACAACCAUCUCUGCCCCAUUGUUGGUAACACCCUUGUGAACAUUCGUGUUCUUACUAGCGCUGGCUCGGCCGCCCGCUCCGACGCCGGAGAGUCGGCCGUUGCGGAGCUCCUCCGCUUGCUCCUUGCUCGCGCGCUGCGCCGCCAGGCCACGUGCUCCGGCAUACACUCGUUUUCGGUUCACCUAAAAAAUCGACUCCAAAACUGCAAGUAUGGGGUAUGGUUUGAUCACUUGUGCGGGGUCUACCGGGUGUCCCGGUUUACGUUGGAGAUGGCCUCACCCCACUACUCCCUCUUCUCCCACUCAAAGCUGGCCGAAACGGUUGGGCCUGGCAUGCCGGCGCGCAAGCAUGCUGGCACGAACACGCCAGAUUACCGCGGGCCCCGUUUGGCCAGCUCUGCUCCCACUCUCCAGUGGCGGCCCCACGCGUGCUCUGCCCCCCUCCUCCUGCUUCUCGUCAUUGCCGUCCUCGACCGAGGAGGAGGCCCGGCGCUGGCGGCGCUCAAGGCACGCUGGACCAGACGAGCCGGGUGCUGGGCUCGUGGGACCCGGCCGGGUGAUCAAUGCGGCGGCUCCUUCAUCAGCCUCACCUGCGACCGCGGCGCGCGCGGCACAGCCAUCUCGCUGCAGGGCCGCAAGCUCUCGUCACCCUCCCGCCGGCAGUCGCGGAGCUCCGCCCCUCGCUAA